This 524-nucleotide ribosomal RNA is filed under the name uncultured bacterium. RNAcentral's name for it is "partial 16S ribosomal RNA". It matches the Rfam family "Bacterial small subunit ribosomal RNA", at positions 28 to 523 of the family's 1533-position model. The record is from RNAcentral.
GACGAACGCUGGCGGCGUGCCUAAUACAUGCAAGUCGAGCGCAGGAAACUGACGGAACUCUUCGGAGGGAAGGCAGUGGAAUGAGCGGCGGACGGGUGAGUAACACGUAAGGAACCUGCCUCAAGGAUUGGGAUAACUCCGAGAAAUCGGAGCUAAUACCGGAUAGUUCAUCGGACCGCAUGGUCCGCUGAUGAAAGGCGCUCCGGCGUCACCUUGAGAUGGCCUUGCGGUGCAUUAGCUAGUUGGUGGGGUAACGGCCCACCAAGGCGACGAGGCAUAGCCGACCUGAGAGGGUGAUCGGCCACACGGGGACUGAGACACGGCCCAGACUCCUACGGGAGGCAGCAGUAGGGAAUCUUCCACAAUGGACGAAAGUCUGAUGGAGCAACGCCGCGUGAGUGAUGAAGGUUUUCGGAUCGUAAAACUCUGUUGUAAGGGAAGAACACGUACGAGAGGGAAUGCUCGUACCUUGACGGUACCUUACGAGAAAGCCACGGCUAACUAUGUGCCAGCCGCCGCGGUAA